Taenia asiatica is the source of this 80-nucleotide non-coding RNA. NCBI's taxonomy places the organism in Eukaryota, Metazoa, Platyhelminthes, Cestoda, Cyclophyllidea, Taeniidae. The record is from Rfam.
GGCAGCGUGGCCGAGUGGUCAAAGGCGACAACUUUAGGCACCGGUCUGAAAAGGCGCGGGUUCGAAUCUCGUCGCUGUCA